Molecule: ribosomal RNA, 253 nt
Filed under: uncultured bacterium
Lineage: Bacteria
Description: partial 16S ribosomal RNA
Rfam family: Bacterial small subunit ribosomal RNA
Source: RNAcentral
UACGAGUGCCCCAAGCGUUAUCCGGAAUUAUUGGGCGUAAAGGGUGUGUAGGUGGUUGUGUUAGUCUCAUGUCAAAUUCUUCGGCUUAACCGGGGUACCGCAUGGGAUACGGCACAACUAGAGGAUGCGAGGGGUGAGUGGAACUCAUGGAGUAGGGGUGAAAUCCGUUGAUAUCAUGGGGAACACCGAAAGCGAAGGCAGCUCACUGGCGCACUCCUGACACUGAAACACGAAAGCGUGGGUAGCGAAUGGG